RNAcentral lists this transfer RNA (72 nucleotides) under Ovis aries (sheep). It matches the Rfam family "tRNA". Rfam says of the family: Transfer RNA (tRNA) molecules are approximately 80 nucleotides in length. Their secondary structure includes four short double-helical elements and three loops (D, anti-codon, and T loops). Lineage: Eukaryota; Metazoa; Chordata; Mammalia; Artiodactyla; Bovidae. The record is from Rfam by way of RNAcentral.
UCCCUGGUGGCUCAGCUGGUAAAGAAUCCACCUGCAAUGUCGAAGACCUGGGUUCUAUUCCUGGCCUGGGAA